CCGAAAUCCUGGUCCAUGGACUUGAAGAAGAACUUGUAGCUGUGCACGGGCCGGUUGCUGAGGACAUUUUUGAAAUCGGCCAGAGUGACUUUUUCCGGCGGGACGGGCAGCUUCACCAGGAAUUAGUAAAUGCUUUCCGGGCACAAACCCCUGGGCACCGCACAGAGGUGGUCGGCGUCCUUAUUCCCCUAACAGCAGGAAAAGGGAGAAAGAGGACAUUCACUUCUUGGAAUAUUCAGCUGCUUUCCGUGAAGGGGUAAAUCACAGCUCAGUGACAGGAUUACCUGUGGCACUGGAAUGGUUUUUCUACCAGCACGAAUCAGAGGAGCCAGUCGUGUCAGAGGCUGCCAAAAGACACGUGCUACGGUUCUGAAAGCACCUGAGAAUACUCUUGGUAUGGAAAGUAUGGCUUGAAUCCACCAACUCUUCUGCACACAAGAAUCUCUGAGCAAGACUGGGGAAGGCUUCCUUUGGCAGGAUUAUAAGGUAACUCUAGUACAAGGUAAAUUUUCUGAGAUACUGAGAUUUAUGUAGUUUUUGCAGUAUGAAACUCAGGCAAAAUAUUAACGUUCAACCCUUUGGUCUCUUCAGUUCAUACUUAACGACCUCCUGAAUUCCUCAGAGACCCAGGUGGUAUCCACACAAAGACUAAAUCUGCAAAGAGCUCUGUUCUUGCUCUAUUCGCUUUGCUUUUACCUUUGACAACUGAAAAUAUAAUGAGUUGUAUAAUUGUCAGAUGACUACCUUGGAACAGACAUGGUAAGACUGGCUCUAUGACUCACAAAAAGCUUUCUGUGUCCCCAUCAAGCACAGAAGAGAGGAGAUAACCCGCUUUCAUGUUACAGUCAAACCACAAGCUAAUCCAAUUAAAGAGCAGACAUAGGAAUGCAGAAUACACCACCUUUGCAAACCACUGGUCCAUCAGGGCUAAUAUCUUGCUUCUUGCGGAGUUCAUGCCUUAACACUUCUGUGGAAAGUAAAUAUAAGGCAUAAAAUCUCUUGCUAUUAGUGCUGUGCUCUCCCUGCUAGAGCAAACAGUCUUGCUGACCCCUGCAGGGAGCAGAUAGUGCCCUGAGGCAUAAAAGCCGCUCACCCUUUUCUUCAUUUAUAUAGCAGUGCACUUCAUUACCACGGAGAGAAUAACCAAGCCCUUUUACAAAGCCAUCCUUUGAAUUAUAGUGAUGGUUGUUGUUUGUCUCGGUGAAUUCAAAAAGCAUAUCACACUCUGGGUGCUUAGCAAAUAAGUAUUUGUUUAAAGAGAUAUGACAAAAAGAAAACCAAAGCUCUGAGCACUCUGACACUCACCAAAGCUGUGACUUGGGACCCACUCUGAGCUUUCGUAGGUAUUUUUAAUCCACCUGCAAGAAUGUGUUUGUAAAAGAACAAAAUCACCUUUUACUUGGCGGAUUAUUCCUUGUCAAGAGUCAGUCGCCAGCAGUUUUGCUACUCACGUCAAUGGAAUCAGGUUUGACUACGAGUGCUUUCAUUUGGGUAGUCAACCCUGGGAAAUGAAGGCUUCCGUCUUCAUUUGUUCCAGCAACACAGCAGGAUCAAUGUGGUUAGUGUCACUGCAAGCUUCCCAUCAUUCACUGCCAGCUCUCCGAGCCACUUGUAGGACUGAUGGUACACACCUACGAGGUGGCUAUGAUAGCACAGACGUAUUAGAAACUAAACCAAUGUCACCCAUUAGCCAGGGAAGGGUCAUUCCAGACUGGAAUCACAGGAGUCACCUAGACACACAAAAUCUGGGUUGCCGAAGUAUUGAGUCCAAUCCUUAUAUUCCUAAUCCUUAAGAAUUUUCUCCAAAAUCACCUUUGUUUAAAAAUAAAAACAGAAAUGGAUUUUGGACUUUUAUCAUUGAAGGGAUGUAUCAGAAGCUGGUGUCUGUAUGAACCACACAGGAACUGUUGGACAACCUAUUCCCCCUCUUCAGAGAUCCUGUUUCCCCGUGGAAACACCAAGCGUUACGUGAAGACUUUCAGCACAUUCAUGAAGGCAAGUUGUGCAGCUGCUCUUCAUCUCUGGGGCAAAGUUUCCAUCUCAUUCUACCGAUUCACACAGGCAAGAUUAACAUCAAUGCAGAAUAAGAACUAAACAUGGAAAUCAUCCAAAAAGAGAAAGAGAAGCAGAAAGAUAGAACUGCAACCACACAGUUGGGAUGUGCUUAGCAUUAAGGUGCUGUAGGCUGGCCCCCAAGCUGCUAUGCAUCAGCAGGAUGCAAUCCAAGUCAGUUUACACUACUCAUGGAUCUGGUUUAAAAGAUCUGCAAUUUUUUUUCCUUUUUAUUCACUCUCCCUGUGCAGCAGACCUUGGGCACAGUCAGGUCAUGGCAGAACUCGGUCCUGAGAGUUCAGAAGAAAAUAAAGACAUCAAACACUAGAGGGAGGCAAAAGACUUGCAGUCCAGCAAUCUGCUCCCAGCCCCCUGGGCAAAGCUCCCCGGAGCUUGCAUUGCCACUGAAUUAAAAAACAAAUAAACCUGGGAGGAAAUGACACGGGGGUAUUUUCAGUGACAUUUCCAAAAACCCACUUAACUGAAGAAUGUGUGUUAUGGAGGGAUAUCGCCCUCCAGGUCUGUAGGAAUGAGGCGCCGUGUACUCCGCAGGGGAGGGGAAAAGAGAAGAAUAGAGGACAACGUUCAUGUUGAUGCUCCAUGGGGACUGCUAAAAAGAAAUCAGAAGAAUGCAAUGGAAAACAUUAACCAACAUUGUUAGCAGAUGCACACUACUUAUGGGAUUCAUAGGAAUGAAGAGUGUCGCCUCCAAUUUCAGUCUCUUUUUCAUCUAACUUGAGUCUAUCGCUGACUGUUCGGUUACUGCUACCGAAAGUCUGAUGCAUCUCAGUGUGAUCCUGCAGUGAUGGAAGAAUUAUCACACUGAACCAACUAUGUUCCUGUCCUUUCGAGGUCUCCCAGCAACAGCAAACCUCAGGUGAAAAUCGGAUGCUCAGACAGAAUAGCAUCAACCUCGCUAACCCUGCUGCAGAAACGCUGCUAACUUCUGUCUUGGAACUCAACUGUACUUCAAAGCAACAAUCAAAACUGUGGAGAUGAGUCUGCAAAGAGGUGAAAUGUUAUUGCAAAAGGCAACAGGUUGGGCACUUCAAAUAACUGAGUUACAUCAAGAUGUUUUUGAAGAAUUACCCUUUUCUCCAUCACGUGUUUGCUGUAGAUGGGCCUUUCAGAGGGAAAUUUUCAUGAGACCAUCUCUUGUCUGGGCAAAAAGCUCUGACUCUGAGGGGAAGAAGUGAUGCCUUCCAGGCAAGACCUCCCUUGUUGCUGAACCACAUACACAAAAUGCUGUGGGUUAGAACAUCAGUACUCCAGCUAUGGAAACUCAGCAUUCACACACUUUUUCUGGAGUCUUCUCAUGCCAAUCAUGGAGAACCAGUCACUAUCACACACGUACACUUUUGGCAGUGUCAAGCAUUUUCAGACAUUUUCAUGUGAUGCACACCUCAUCAACAAGUUUAAUGGGUCAAUACCAGCUCCUACUCAUGAUGACUCGAUCUGCUUCCUUUCCUCAGCCGUUUUCUGGUUCUCCUACCUAUUCUUAGCAGCUGCAGCACUUUUUUUUAAAAGAGGAGAGCCACACUUGAAAAAUUUCCCUGCAGCAAUUGUCUUCGGAGCAGCUGAUCCGCAGAGGGCCACAUACACAUCUGAAAACUUGACCUCUAGGAAAGAGUGGAGUUUUUGCUCAGAAACAUCUAUUUGGAUCUUUAUCCUACUUCUCUCAGGUCCCCAGGGUUUCUUCUUCCCCUCAGGAAUGUGUUCUGUUAAUGACUAGCAAGUCCUUCUCCCCUGGUAAGACUCUCCCCAGACUGGGAGGCAGAAAGGAAACGGGGACAAUCUGGACUUCAUUUCAGUCAAGUUGAAGACAAUGAAAAUAUUUAAUUUCAGUGGUCUGCAAAGCAGGCCCUGUGGUUGCUAAAUUAGCUUUUCCUUGCUCCCAGUUGCUUUCCUGGAAAAUCAGACCCAUUGUCUACAGAGACAGAGAAAAGUAACAAGAUGCCCCAGCAACAAAUAACUGACAGCAGAGUUUUUGGCUGGAGUCUGCCAGCAGAGACGCACUGUACCAGCAGAAAGGAACAGGGCUUAAAGCAUUAAUGACACCCAGCAUUAGCUACAGCUAUGCAGAAAGACCUCACUCUGAGAUAAUUGCACAAUUGCAGCUGCCUAUUUUUGCAGACUCCCCCACGUGUAGAGAAGAGCAGAGCAAGCCACACCAGGUUCAAGAGGGAACUGGACAAUUUGUACAUGCAUAGUGUCAGGCAAGUACAAAUAAGCAGGCCUGCAAACACUGCGUUUGUGUUUUUGAAGCCCUCAGAAAAACUCCGUUCAAGCUCCAAAUUCCCCCAACAAAGAACAGAUCUAGAAAUCUGACCCAACAUAUGUCACCUCAGUCCAGAAAAAUGGUGGCAUCUUUGGCUCCCAGCAUCAGCAGUAUAAUCUGAAGACUUUUUUUAUGGCCUGGUGGUCUAGUUUGCCUGUGGCAUUUGAGGAAAAAAAAAAGAGGUAAGUUUAAAUCUUAGAAAAAUGCUGUUGAGUCAGAUGUUCCCAGUGGGACGGGCACCAGCUCCAGGAUGAUCUCACUUUGCCCAAGGUGUCUUUUUUUCAGUAGUUCUCAUUAGGCUUCUCCUGACAUGAAGAAUCUCACUUACAGGUUAUAGCAGGGACUGACCAGUAAAGUCCCACAACGAUACCAGAAGGGGUACUUUAUUGCACAGGGCCCCUGGCUCCACCUGCUCAAGAACUCAUCAUUCAUUCUCAGCAACAGCAGAGCCCACCAAGAAGGAACUAACCCCUGUCCACUUCUCAUUGUCUUCGUGUCCCAACCCUUUUAACAUAUUUGGUUUUUUUUUCCUCAGGUAAAAGCGCAAGCAGCCGUCACAGGGGCCAAUUCACCCCAACAAAGAGGUGAAAUGGCAGGAGACUGGCUGUAGUAUGAUUUCCAACCGGGUAAGAGAGAAGAUAAUACUUUCACCAGAGCUAGACAAGCUAGUCAACAAUCUUAGUUUGCUAAAUGCACUUUUCUGCCUCUUUUUAGUUUCAUAUCCUGCUUUGGUCCUUCAAAUUCUUGCACUUGCACCCUGCACUGCCCAUCAAAGCACUAAUACAAGCUGUUUCCAUCAGUGUCCCUGGAAGAACUCUGUCACACCAGCUGGGAUAGCACUCAGUGGGUGGAAGCCCUCCAAGAGCAGAAUGUGCAGCAGGAACUUUGCAAGGUGUUAGUUCUGCAAGUAAAAGAGGAAUUUGGGAUGGGAGCAAAGUAUAAAACUGUGCAGUUAACUAUUCCAGCAGGAUAUGUUAUCUUCCCUUCUGGAACUGCAGAAUGAGGUACUAUGAAGGAGCUGCCAGCCUUCAUCUCUGAUAGAUGGUUUGAACUCCAUCUACAGCCACAGAUCUGUUCAUUAUACAACACUUUUGGAGAGCUAAAAUUUGUCUGUGGGCCCCAUGACCAAGUCAAAUAAUGAUGUCCCAUGUGGAAACCACACUGAAAUCACUGGAAUAACUCAUGGCUUCCAAUCUGCACUCUGUCAAGCACUUUAGGAUGCUCUGAGAUGAAACACGCUGCACAGCUAUUGGGAAGAAUUAGCUAAUGCUGGCUAAUAGCUUAGAUAGCAUCUCCAAAGAGCAAGAAAUAAAAUCAACCUUAACUUGAAACUCCAUUUUGUUCUCCUUUAUUUCUUGAAUGCUAGGAGAGUUACACAACAAUGAUAAAUGGUAAAAGUUAAGUAACAAUAAUACUUAAAAUUAAUUCUGUUACAACAAAGGAAAAAAAAACCCAAGCUUUAUGGAACAAGUCCUCCUCUCAGUCUUGAAAGGGAGCAGAAUGUGCACAGAGCUGGGAAGAGGGGACUCUAGCUCUAGUCUCAGUUUUAACCCCUUGUAAGGUCACUGCCACACACCCUUUCCUUGUUCCACAAGGGCUUACAUUCCAUACAUUACCCUAAGAGACUUUCACUUCUCUGCCCUUAUUGAGCUAGAGUACUCACUGAGAAAUAACUGGUAUAAAAAUAUUAGGGGUUGUUAUUAUUUUAACUAACAGAACAUAAAAUGCAUGUCUCAGGAAACCAAGGAGACUAUAAUGAGGCAAAGCCUGCCAAGAGCCUGCAAAGUGACAAGUAAAGAGGUCUAUCAAGAUGCGGCAUUCCAUGAGUACCGCGAGAACACUACUUCGAAUAACUCAGGCAAAGCACAUUUACCAAAGUGCUACACACUUAAAGAAUUACUUCUCCAUGAGAGGCAAGUUACUGUCCCAUAUUCGGGAAAGAAAGGCUGAGACGAGAGAAAGAGAGAGAAAACCAACCUGGCUAGAAUUGCACUAAGCCUGUGGCAGAGCGGGAACAGAAGGCAGCAGUCCUGCCCCUAGCCUAGUCGUUGACUGCACGUCAAGCCUUCAAUUUUCACGUGCAAUAUCAGCUACAUAGAUUUCAUGCCAGUGCCUGAGACUGACAAAACACAAAGUGCAUAUGUAAAGGACCUAAAUGGCUUCUCAACAGUAUUUAAGGGCUAAUAGCCUUUGAUAAUUUCUCUGUAUUAAGAAAUAAACAAACAAAACUCUU
This is a non-coding RNA of Phalacrocorax carbo (great cormorant), 6563 nucleotides long. NCBI's taxonomy places the organism in Eukaryota, Metazoa, Chordata, Aves, Suliformes, Phalacrocoracidae. The record is from RefSeq and is a predicted model, not a curated record.